CGACUGAAACCUUUUCUACGAUAGAACACUCCUGGACGAAUGAGGGACUACACCGUCUUAUUUAGAGCACUUUUCAUGCAAGGGAAACCUGCAUUCAAGUAAAGAUUCCCUGCUAGAGUGGAAAAACUGAAGGGGGGUGGACCACAGCAAAAUCAUGGACAUGGUAUGAUACAGCGGAUGAAGCAACAGGUGGCUGGAUGUCUAUAACACCAAGCAAGUAAGGACAGGCCUUACUGCUUGAGGGAGAUACUCCCGGGAGGAAAGCACAUUCUCUGUGACUGAGGAAAGAAAGGAACAGAGAGAAAGGAAGGCACAAAAGGAAGAGGAAUGUUUGAGAAUUGAGAAAGAAUGGUUAGAUAAUUGCAAGAGAAAAGUAAAAAAAGAGAGAAAAGACAGGUAGACAGCAGAUAGGAAGGAGCACAUCUUCCUCUUUUACUUUAAAGUUACUUAAAAACUAGUUUAGAUUCAAUAUUUGGCAUAUACUGUUACUUGAGAACACAUGUUCAAUAAUCUUUUUCCUGUGCUGUCGCCUCCAAGCUAUAACUGCAGUGGCUGUGUAGUGCACCCAGCUGGUCAGAAGGGACUACUACACAUUAUUUUACCUCAUCUGAGAUGGGCUUCCUGUGCAACUCCCUGUGUAAAAUACAAAGUAUUUUGUUAUUCAUUACAAAAUGCACUCUAAGUUUCUCCACAGAGUAUUGUAAAAAAAAAAAAAUUAAAAAAGCAUGUUUUUCCCUCAAAUAUCGUUUCAUUUCAAUAUGUCAUUAAGAAAAUA
Molecule: long non-coding RNA, 775 nt
Organism: Siniperca chuatsi (mandarin fish)
Lineage: Eukaryota; Metazoa; Chordata; Actinopteri; Centrarchiformes; Sinipercidae
Exons: 3
Source: RefSeq, a predicted model, not a curated record